AGGAACAACCUUAGAAAUAUCAGUCCCAUAGUUUGCAUGCAGAUCUUUUUCUGCAAUAAACACACUUUUUAUUUCCUUCUUUUGACAUCACCGAAGAGAUGUGUAUUUGCAUUUCAAUACUAGAUUUGAUGGGAAAUCACCUGGAUCCCACUUUACCUGGCAGUGCUUAAAAGUGCUUUAUGCUUUGAACUAUAAGAACAGAUAACACCAUGAAGAGAAGAAAUCUCUGUUAAAAGAUGAAAAAUGUACUUUAUCUCUUUGCAUUUCCACCAAGUUUUUGAAGCUCACAGGCUGCAAGCUAGGCCUGCAUCUGAGUGUAGGCAGUAUUGUUUGUAUCUGCUUUUCAAAGGAAAUAUUGCUGAGCAAAUCUUUACGUGGGUUUUAUUCCACUGAGAUGCACUGGAGAAAAUGAGAAACUGAAAUGGGGCUACAUUUAAACAGGACUGGCCAUUUGUCACAUCUAUGGGACUAGGAGAGCAGAGUGAAUGACGCCAAGGCUGAAACACUUGCAAAUGUCUUCACUGCUGCUAAUUUCAUUCUGUACUUGAUGGAAAAGAAUGUUCUUCCUUUGUUCAAUGUUUUUGUGCCAGAAAUUGAAAAGUGCAAUGACCUAAUUAUUUCUUUAUUGUACCAGCAUGUCUUCAAGUGACUGAUGUUUCAUACUGAUGGAAGAUUAUUGUUGCUAACUAUGUUGCUGUAGUGUGCACACACUCUUUCACUUCAAUUAGAAAGUGUUAUUUUCAAUAAAAAAACGUUGUUUUGUGCUGUGACUUGCAGCUCAGAAGUUUGUCCCAUGGGUUUCUUAUUAUACAAAAGUAGAGAGAUCCAGGGGAAACAGAAAGAAUGAAAAUUUAGAAGACUAUUUCCUAGUCCAAUCUUUGCAACUCAAACUUUGCAAACUUUGCAGACUUUGCAACACUAGAAAACUUUUUUCAAGUCAAUCAUUUAUGCAUCUUCAGAAGGAAAUAAAUUUCCCUUUGUUUCUCAGUGAAGCCCUUUAGGGUUCACAGUGUUUUAAUUGGCAAGAAUGACCUGACACAGAGUUUCAAUGACAGUGAUUAUGAGAAACAAAAGUGCACAUCCUUUAAGGCCAAAGGCUGCACUGAAACCUGUAUCAUCAUCUCACAGUGACAUUAUUAUUAUUACGUGCUAGGAACGUUACAGUCUAUGAGACUUCCUAAAGCACCGAUUCAGCUGUGAAGUAAAAUGUAAUAGUUUAUCGUCCUGUCAUUUUAUCAAACUACCCACGCAUUGUUAAAAGACUGUUGGGGAUUGUAGAACUUGCAUUAAUUUCUACAUUCGUUGGCUACACAGAUCAGAGUGCCUCUGUAUUUCUGCUAUGAGAGAAUUCACACAUGUGUUUAAUUAAUGCUAGGUUAUAAUGAUAUUCGCUAUAAUUUACUGUGUCAUUACGGCUUAUUGUAGAUGCUCAAUUUGAAAGGAGAUGACAAAUCUGUGCCUGGAAGAGAUAACAUUUUUUAAUUUUGCAGGUGAUUAGAAAGUAUAGGUCAAAUUUUGUCCCCAGAUUUCACAGAAUUCCUCUGAGACAGAAUCUGGUCCUAGCUUACAAUAGACUUGUGUAAGUCGGCAAAGAAAGCUAAUUUGCACAAUGUUGAAAGGACUAUGUUCUACAGAGUAUAUAAAACAGCUCAGCUUGUCUUCAACUGCUAGCGAACUCAUGUAGGUUCAAGCUAAUUACUUUUUGGCACAGAGAGACCAAAAGUCAUAGUUGCUUGUUUUGAACAGUCACUUAUAAAUUAACUGUCAAAAUCACCCUAAACUGCAUGAGCUCAAUGGCUCAUUAGAUUGGCCAAAGUUAGCAUAUAAGCUUUAAAUCAAUUUAUAAGAUAAAUUGGUUUGCUACUUGAAUUUUUUGGUAGAGCCAUUACUUGUCUUAAUGCACGUUAAUUUUACCAUCUUUUAUUUUUUAAACUUUAUGCUUUUAGCUGCCAAAGCCUAGGCAACAAGAAAAAACUCCAUAGGUAUGCAUUUCUCACAGGAGUUAGAAAUAGCUUCACUGAGACCAUAUAACAUCUUGUGCUUUGACAAUCAGCUUUCCCAUUAACAUGAGAAUGCUUUGGAUCAGAUCUUAGGAGAAUAGUUUUUGAGUUCUUAGACACUUUUAGCAUUUUUUUUUCCUAUAUAUUUCUGAACUGUGUUUUUUAUGUUAGGAAGAGCCUUACAGUAAAAACAGAGUAGAGCCAGAUUGUAUUUUAUUAUGUCUUCAUAUGAAAUGGUUUAUGUUGCAUUCCAGUAUGCCAUAAAUUAAAAGUAUUUCAUUUUGUCCUCUGUUUUUUGUUUCUUUUUUUUGAUUGCAGUCCAAACGUUAAUCUCUGAAUCUAUAUGUA
Molecule: long non-coding RNA, 2348 nt
Organism: Anas platyrhynchos (mallard)
Lineage: Eukaryota; Metazoa; Chordata; Aves; Anseriformes; Anatidae
Source: RefSeq, a predicted model, not a curated record